AUGGGGCGGCUGGUGGCUGUGGGCUUGCUGGGGAUCGCGCUGGCGCUCCUGGGCGAGAGGCUUCUGGCACUCAGAAAUCGACUUAAAGCCUCCAGAGAAGUAGAAUCUGUAGACCUUCCACACUGCCACCUGAUUAAAGGAAUUGAAGCUGGCUCUGAAGAUAUUGACAUACUUCCCAAUGGUCUGGCUUUUUUUAGUGUGGUGAGUGUCUUCUUCCUUCCCCAAAUUCAGCAGAGGAGAUACAAGGGUAUUUGAUGAGGGCUGCAGAACAGGUCUAAAAUUCCCAGGACUCCACAGCUUUGCACCAGAUAAGCCUGGAGGAAUACUAAUGAUGGAUCUAAAAGAAGAAAAACCAAGGGCACGGGAAUUAAGAAUCAGUCGUGGGUUUGAUUUGGCCUCAUUCAAUCCACAUGGCAUCAGCACUUUCAUAGACAACGAUGACACAGUUUAUCUCUUUGUUGUAAACCACCCAGAAUUCAAGAAUACAGUGGAAAUUUUUAAAUUUGAAGAAGCAGAAAAUUCUCUGUUGCAUCUGAAAACAGUCAAACAUGAGCUUCUUCCAAGGU
This 566-nucleotide long non-coding RNA is filed under the name Homo sapiens (human). RNAcentral's name for it is "non-protein coding lnc-PON3-2:6". The record is from RNAcentral. Lineage: Eukaryota; Metazoa; Chordata; Mammalia; Primates; Hominidae.